RNAcentral lists this ribosomal RNA (1428 nucleotides) under metagenome. RNAcentral describes it as "bacterial SSU rRNA". It matches the Rfam family "Archaeal small subunit ribosomal RNA". The record is from RNAcentral.
UUCCGUUGAUCCUGCGGAAGGUUGCUGCUAUUUGGGUUCGACUAAGCCAUGCAAGUUCUCUCUCUUCGGAGGGAUGCGAAAUGCUCAGUAACACGUCAAUAAUCUAACCUUAAGUCAGGAAUACCCUUGGUAAACUGAGGCUAAGACCUGAUAGGAGAAUAGUAGUGGAGAGAUUUUUUCUCUGAAACUCGUGCUUAAGGAUGAGUUGGCGGCAGAUUAGGCUGUUGGUGGGGUAAAGGCCCACCAAACCGAAGAUCUGUAAGGGCCUUGAGAGAGGUAACCCUGAGAAGGACACUGAGAUACUGGUCCUAGCCCUACGGGGCGCAGCAGGCGCGAAACCUUUACACUACACGCAAGUGUGAUAAGGGAACCCAAAGUGCUUUACUUUUAGUAAGGCUUUUGUUAAGAGUAAAUAUCUUGACGAAUAAGUGGUGGGUAAGACUGGUGCCAGCAGCCGCGGUAACACCAGCGCCACGAGUGGUAAUCAUGUUUAUUGGCCUAAAGCGUCCGUAGCCUGUUCUGUAAGUCUUUUGUGAAAUCGUUGUGCUCAACAUAACGGCAUGCAAAAGAGACUGCUGAACUUGGAACCGGGAAGAGUCAGAGGUAUUCUGGGGGGAGCGGUAAAAUGCUAUAAUCCUCGGAGGACCACCAGUGGCGAAGGCGUCUGACUAGAACGGCUUCGACGGUGAGGGACGAAAGCUGAGGGAGCAAUCCGGAUUGGAUACCCGAGUAGUCUCAGCCGUAAACGCUGCGAGCAAGGUGUCACACUUUCUAAGGAACGUGUGGUGUCGAAAUGAAGAUGUUAAGCUCGCCGCCUGGGAAGUAUGGUCGCAAGGCUGAAACUUAAAGGAAUUGGCGGGGGAGCACCACAAGGGGUGCGGCGUGCGGUUUAAUCUAAUUUAACGCAGAGAAUCUCACCAGAAGCGACGGCAGGAUGAAGAUCAGUCUGAAGGGCUUAUCUGACGAGCCGAGAGGUAGUGCAUGGCCGUCGUCAGCUCGUGCCGUAAGGUGUCUUGUUAAGUCAAGCAACGAGCGAGACCUAUACCUACAAUUGCGAGCAAAUCUUUUUGGAUUUGUGCACAUUGUAGGAACUGCUCCGGAAACGGAGAGGAAGGUGUAGGCUACGGUAGGUCUGUAUGCUCCGAAUCUUCUGGGCUACACGCGCGCAACAAUGGUAAGGACAAUGUGAUGCGACACCGAAAGGUGAAGCUAAUCCUCGAAACCUUAUCUUAGUUUAGAUUGAGGACUGUAACUCGUCCUCAUGACACUGGAAUCCCUAGUAAUCAGACAUCAACAUCGUCUGGUGAAUAUGUCCCUGCUCCUUGCACACACCGCCCGUCAAACCACUCGAGCAGGGUCUAGGUGAGAUUUGGUUUCUAAUUAAAUCGAAUCUAGGCUCAGUGAGAUGGGUUAAGUCGUCACAAGGUA